This 301-nucleotide ribosomal RNA is filed under the name uncultured bacterium. Its description in RNAcentral is "partial 16S ribosomal RNA". It matches the Rfam family "Bacterial small subunit ribosomal RNA", at positions 509 to 807 of the family's 1533-position model. The record is from RNAcentral.
CAGUCGCCGCGGUAAUACGUAGGUGGCAAGCGUUGUCCGGAAUUAUUGGGCGUAAAGGGCUCGCAGGCGGUUUCUUAAGUCUGAUGUGAAAGCCCCCGGCUCAACCGGGGAGGGUCAUUGGAAACUGGGAAACUUGAGUGCAAGAGGGGAGAGUGGAAUUCCAUGUGUAGCGGUGAAAUGCGUAGAUAUAUGGAGGAACACCGGUGGCGAAAGCGGCUCUCUGGCUUGUAACUGACGCUGAGGCUCGAAAGCGUGGGGAGCAAACAGGAUUAGAGACCCCAGUAGUCCCUGUCUCUUAUAC